AACGAACGCUGGCGGCAGGCCUAACACAUGCAAGUCGAGCGCUCUAGCAAUAGGGAGCGGCGCACGGGUGAGUAACGCGUAGGAAUCUACCUUGUAGUACGGAACAACCGUUGGAAACGACUGCUAAUACCGUAUACGCCCUUCGGGGGAAAGAAUUUCGCUAUAAGAUGAGCCUGCGUUAGAUUAGCUAGUUGGUGAGGUAAUGGCUCACCAAGGCUCCGAUCUAUAGCUGGUCUGAGAGGAUGAUCAGCCACACUGGGACUGAGACACGGCCCAGACUCCUACGGGAGGCAGCAGUGGGGAAUAUUGGGCAAUGGGCGCAAGCCUGACCCAGCCAUGCCGCGUGAGUGAUGACGGCCUUAGGGUUGUAAAGCUCUUUUAGUGGUGAGGAUGAUGACGGUAACCACAGAAAAAGCCCCGGCUAACUUCGUGCCAGCCGCCGCCGUAA
Molecule: ribosomal RNA, 448 nt
Filed under: uncultured bacterium
Lineage: Bacteria
Description: partial 16S ribosomal RNA
Rfam family: Bacterial small subunit ribosomal RNA
Source: RNAcentral